This is a non-coding RNA of Prunus mume (Japanese apricot), 4915 nucleotides long. The record is from RefSeq and is a predicted model, not a curated record. Lineage: Eukaryota; Viridiplantae; Streptophyta; Magnoliopsida; Rosales; Rosaceae.
AAAAAACAGUUGGAGAGAGAGGAGACGACGACUCUCUCUAUCUGUCUCACAGAAGACUUUCUUCUUUGUCCUGCUGGUCUUGUUGGUCUAUAUAAGGCUGACCCGAAACCCAUGGCAAAAAUAUCUCUCUCUCUUUCUUUCUUCUCUCUUCUUUUCACAUUUUCUCGUUCUUCACCAAAAACCAAGUGCAAAAGUGUGAAGAGUUUUAAGAAGGCAAGAAUUAACAAUUCAUUCUUUGGGUGCAGAUUUGAUUUUUUUCAACUUGAGCAGUCCAAGCUGCUUUGAACAUAGAGUUCAACCGGUUUCUAAAAUUGGGUUCACCUAAUUUGCUCUGUUUUUCAAACCCAUCAGUUGAAAUCUCGAGUUUUGAGUGAUUUGAUCGGUUUUGGGAAUUAAAAAUGGCGGCGGCAUUAGCCGGAGAUGAUCUGGCAAGGCAGUCUAGCAGCCGGCGGAGCUGGCGGUCGACGAGUGUUCGGGAAAUGUGGAACGCGCCGGACGUGUUUCAGCGGAGUGGGCGGCAGCAGGCGGUGGAUGAGGAGGAGGAGCUCAAGUGGGCAGCUAUAGAGAGGCUGCCCACUUAUGACAGGAUGAGGAGGGGGAUGUUGAGACAGGCCAUGAGCAAUGGGAGGGUUAUAACUGAAGAAGUUGAUGUUGCAAACCUCGGAGCUCAGGAUAAGAAGCAGUUGAUGGAGAGCAUACUUAAGGUUGUUGAGGAGGAUAAUGAGAGGUUCUUGCAGAGGCUCAGAGCCAGAAAUGACAGGGUUGGUAUUGAGGUUCCUAAGGUUGAAGUUAGAUUCCAGAAUGUAUCAAUAGAGGGAGAUGCAUAUGUUGGCACCAGAGCACUUCCAACUCUGCUAAAUUCCACCUUGAAUCAACUAGAGGGACUAAUUGGAUUGAUUGGACUCUCACCGUCAAAGAAAAGAGUUGUCAAGAUACUCCAAGAUGUGAGCGGUAUUAUUAAACCAUCAAGGAUGACACUGCUUCUUGGACCUCCUUCGUCAGGAAAAACAACACUGUUAAAAGCACUUGCUGGAAAGCUUGAUAAGGAUCUAAGGGAAACUGGGAAAGUGACCUACUGUGGCCAUGAAUUCAAGGAAUUUGUGCCUCAGAGAACCUCUGCUUAUAUUAGUCAGCAUGAUCUUCAUUAUGGUGAGAUGACAGUUCGUGAAACAUUGGAUUUCUCUGGACGUUGCCUGGGAGUUGGAACCAGGUAUGAUAUGCUUGUAGAGUUGUCUAGACGGGAGAAAGAUUCAGGCAUCAAACCAGAUCCUGAGAUUGAUGCAUUCAUGAAAGCCACAUCUAUGACAGGCCAGGAAACUAGUUUGAUCACAGAUUAUGUUCUCAAGAUACUUGGACUUGAUAUCUGUGCUGAUAUUAUGGUGGGUGAUGACAUGAGAAGGGGCAUAUCUGGUGGACAAAAGAAACGUGUAACUACUGGAGAAAUGUUGGUUGGACCAGCGAAAGCAUUUUUCAUGGAUGAAAUAUCAACAGGGCUGGACAGUUCCACAACCUUUCAGAUUGUGAAGUUCAUGAGACAGAUGGUUCAUAUCAUGGAUGUGUCUAUGGUCAUCUCUCUCUUGCAACCAGCACCUGAGUCUUAUGAUCUUUUUGAUGACAUUAUCCUUCUUUCUGAGGGUCAGAUUGUCUACCAAGGCCCGCGUGAGAAUGUUCUGGAAUUCUUUGAAUUUAUGGGGUUCAGAUGCCCAGACAGAAAGGGUGUUGCAGACUUUUUGCAAGAAGUGACCUCAAAGAAGGACCAAGAACAAUACUGGUAUAAGAAAAACCAACCUUAUAGAUAUGUCUCAGUAUCUGAUUUCGUUCGGGCUUUUACGACUUUCCAUGUUGGCCAACGGCUUGUGGAAGAACUAAGAGUUCCAUACGAUAAACGAACAGUCCAUCCUGCUGCAUUGGUGAAGGAAAAGUAUGGAAUAUCCAAUAUGGAGAUCUUCAAGGCAUGCUUUGCGAGGGAAUGGUUGCUGAUGAAGCGUAACUCUUUUGUAUACAUAUUCAAAACUACCCAGAUAACAAUCAUGGCUACAAUUGCUCUGACAGUAUUCUUAAGAACAGAAAUGAAAGCUGGACAAGCACAAGAUUCGGCAAAAUUUUGGGGAGCACUGUUUUUCAGUCUCAUUAACGUUAUGUUUAAUGGAAUGGCAGAGCUUGCCAUGACAGUUUUCAGGCUUCCUGUGUUCUUCAAACAAAGGGAUGCUUUGUUCUUCCCUGGCUGGGCCUUUGGCUUGCCCAUUUGGCUAACCAGAAUUCCCAUUUCAGUGAUGGAAUCUGGGAUAUGGAUCAUUUUGACAUACUACUCCAUUGGAUUUGCACCUGCUGCCAGUAGGUUCUUCAAACAGUUCUUGGCUUUCUUUGGUAUACACCAGAUGGCUCUCUCCCUCUUCCGUUUCAUUGCUGCCCUUGGUAGAAGUGAGGUUGUUUCUGGCACAAUUGGUUCUUUUACAUUGCUACUCGUGUUUGUCCUAGGAGGUUUUGUUGUUGCUAAAGAUGACAUUUUGCCAUGGAUGAUAUGGGGCUACUAUGUUUCACCUAUGAUGUAUGGGCAAAAUGCAAUUGCUAUCAAUGAAUUUCUUGAUAAAAGAUGGAGCUCUCAUGUCAACGGCACCAUUGAUGACACAGUUGGAAAGGUACUUCUGAGGGAAAGCGUCUAAUGUUCUUUUCAUUGGAGCACUGACCUUCUUAGAUCCUCUUAGUGAAACUAAAACUCUAAUUGAGAAUGACGACAACUCUGAAAGUAGGAAGAGGCGACAAUCCAAUCCAGAAGGUAUUGAUAUGCAAGUCAGAAAUGCUCAAGGAAUUGUUAGUGCCGAAAAUAACCAAGCCAAACGAGGAAUGGUUUUGCCCUUCCAGCCCCUCUCGCUUGCUUUCAACCAUGUGAAUUACUAUGUGGAUAUGCCUGCCGAAAUGAAGACCCAAGGGAUUGAAGAGACCCGACUGCAACUUCUACGAGAUGUUAGUGGUGCAUUUAGGCCAGGUGUUUUGACUGCAUUAGUUGGUGUCAGUGGUGCUGGAAAGACCACCUUGAUGGAUGUCUUAGCUGGAAGAAAGACCGGCGGCUAUAUUGAAGGAAGUAUUACGAUCUCUGGUUACCCAAAGAACCAAGCCACAUUUGCCCGGGUCAGCGGUUACUGUGAACAGAAUGACAUUCAUUCACCAUUUGUUACUGUCUAUGAAUCUCUCCUAUACUCUGCCUGGCUACGUAUUUCCAAGGAUGUCAAGACGGAGACACGAAAGAUGUUUGUUGAUGAGGUUAUGGACUUGGUGGAGCUUAACCCAUUGAGGAAUGCUUUAGUUGGACUUCCAGGAGUUGAUGGACUUUCGACCGAGCAGAGAAAGAGGCUCACCAUUGCUGUAGAAUUAGUUGCCAACCCUUCCAUCAUCUUUAUGGAUGAGCCAACGUCAGGUCUUGAUGCUAGAGCAGCUGCAAUUGUUAUGCGUACUGUGAGAAACACUGUGGAUACAGGACGAACUGUUGUCUGUACAAUUCACCAACCUAGCAUUGACAUUUUUGAAGCAUUUGAUGAGCUUUUCUUAAUGAAAAGAGGAGGACAGGUGAUUUAUGCAGGUCCUCUAGGUCGCCAGUCUCACAAGCUUGUUGAAUACUUUGAGGCUAUUCCAGGGGUUUCCAAGAUCAAAGAAGGUUACAAUCCUGCUACCUGGAUGUUAGAGGUCAGCUCUGCUUCAAUUGAAGCUCAAAAUGAUGUGGACUUUGCAGAAAUAUUUGCAAACUCUGAUCUCUAUAGGAGAAAUCAGGAACUUAUCAAGGAACUAAGCAUACCAGAACCAGGCUCCAAGGAUCUUUACUUCCCCACCCAGUACUCCCAAAGCUUUUUAACUCAGUGCAAGGCUUGCUUCUGGAAACAAAACUGGUCAUACUGGAGGAACUCACGGUACAAUGCCAUUAGGUUUUUCAUGACAAUUUGCAUCGGAGUAUUAUUUGGUAUUAUCUUCUGGGGCAAAGGAGAUGAUAUACACAAGCAACAAGACCUGAUUAAUCUUUUGGGAGCUACCUAUUCUGCUAUUCUUUUCCUUGGAGCUAGCAAUGCUUCUGCUGUGCAAUCUGUGGUUGCGGUUGAACGAACAGUUUUCUAUCGUGAAAGAGCAGCGGGAAUGUAUUCAGAGUUGCCAUAUGCAUUUGCUCAGGUGGCUAUUGAGACAAUUUAUGUUGCAAUCCAAACCUUUGUCUAUUCCUGUCUUCUAUUUUUCAUGAUCGGGUAUAAUUUUAAGGUGGAGAAGUUUCUGUACUUCUACUACUUCAUAUUCAUGUGCUUUACCUACUUCUCAAUGUACGGGAUGAUGGUGGUUGCCCUAACUCCUGGCCAUCAAAUUGCUGCAAUUACUAUGUCUUUCUUCUUGAGCUUCUGGAACUUGUUCUCUGGUUUCCUCAUCCCCAGGCCGCUAAUUCCCAUCUGGUGGAGGUGGUACUACUGGGGCUCUCCUGUUGCUUGGACAAUCUAUGGCAUCUUCACAUCCCAAGUUGGUGACAUAAAGACAGAGAUCAUAGUUAAUAUUGACGAAAGAAAAGCUGUUGAUGUAUUCCUUAAAGAUUUUUUAGGUUUUGAGUACGAUUUUCUGAUCCCUGUUGUCAUUGCUCAUGUUGCUUGGGUCCUCCUCUUCUUCUUUGUCUUUGCAUACGGCAUCAAGUUCUUGAACUUCCAAAGGAGAUAAGCAAAUUCACUGUGCAGCAGUGAAGAACCUUAAGAAUGUGAAAUAGAUAGCUUGAGUGUACAACAUUAUAAUUAGAGAGACAAAAUUUGUCCUCUCUUUUUGUCAUUUCAUUUUUGCUUUUGCUUCAUACGUUUGUGUAAUUUAGUUUGUCUUGGAUACCUUUUCCUUAAUACUUUGUAUAGCUAUUUUUAUUCUUGAAUAUUUAAUAGAAGGACCUUGUGAAUGUUCUUUUCAA